Long non-coding RNA from Equus quagga, 1590 nucleotides. RefSeq lists it as uncharacterized. The record is from RefSeq and is a predicted model, not a curated record. Lineage: Eukaryota; Metazoa; Chordata; Mammalia; Perissodactyla; Equidae. The transcript is spliced from 3 exons.
GCUGCUCGCUGCGGUGGCCUCCGGUGCCCGACUGUUUGAUUUCCACUGGGAAUUUGGGGGCCAAGGGAGGGGGUUGUAGGUCGAAUUCGUAUGUUAGUAUUUCCACUGGGGGCCUGGUUUCUCUCGAAAGCUGGGCAGGAAAGGGUUCGCAUGGCUCUGUGCUUGCAAAUUCGUGACUGCCUCCUGCGGAGUAGCCGAGUCUCCUGAGUUCCCAAUUAAACUAUUUGGGCAGGAGAUUUGAAGAUGGAGAUCUUAAUUUCAGCGGCUUAUACACAGAGGAGGGGAAAAGGAUAAGACACAAACCUUGGGGAAAAUCCACAUCUGGAUGAAGAUGAACCCGCAGGAGAGAGAAGACAAGCAGAGAAGUAGGAGCAUGGCUUGCCAAGCGGUGCCGUGUCUGCACCCGGGAUCCGAACCGGCGAACCCCAGGCCGCUGAAGCAGAACAUGUGAACUUAACUGCUGCGCCACCGGGCCGGCCUCAAAAAAUGUUUUUGAAUCUGGUUCUUCCUUUAUGUGUAUUUUUUCCCUUGAUAAUAAGUUUAUUGAAUUUAUCCAGUGACACUCUAAUUGCCAAGUCCUACAGUCUUUUCAAAGUUCCUUGGCAUAUAUGAUCUAUGUAGUCUUAGGCAUUCAUUUACCUCUAAACUCAGAGUGAAGAGCUCAGUGGAGAAGUUGAAGUUGGAUAUCAAAGUAAGUGUCAAACCAGGCAUUAUGAUAAAAAGCUUAAAAUAUCCAAUGAAUCCCUAUAACAGCCUAAAGGGAUUAUCAUUAUCUCCAUUAAAAAUUUUAUUCAUGUUUAAUUUAGGAACACUGCACAUAGAUAAAGAUGGAAAAUAUCAUCAGUUUUGACAUGUGUACACCCAUUGUCUUAGUCUCUUUGGGCUUCUGUAACAAAAUACCAUAGACUGGGUAUCUUAUUAACAACAGAAAUUUAACUUUCACAGUUCUGGAGGCUGGAGAGUCCAAGAACAAGGGACGACCCUCUUUUCGGUUUCAUAGCUGAUGCCUUCUAGCUAUGUAGUCACGUGGUUGAAGGGGCAAGGAGCUGUUUAGAGUCUCUUUCAUAAGAGCACUAAUCUCAUUCAUCAGGGUUCCACCCUCAUAAUUUAAGCACCUCCCAAAGGCCCCACCUCCUAAUACCAUCCUCUUUGGGGAUUAAGAUUUCAAAACACAAUUUUAGGGGGACACAUUACACCUCAGCACCCAUUAAACCGUCACCACAAUCGAGAUAACAAUCACAUCACCGCCAAAAGUUCUCUUGUGCCCUUUUGUAAUCCAUCUCUCCCUCCAACUCCAUCCCCAGGCAACCACUUUCUGUCAAUAUAGAUUAGUUUGCAUUUUCUUGAAUUUUAAAUAAAUGGAAUCAUACCGUAUGUUCUUUUUUGGGGGGCUUCUUUGACUCAGCAUAAUUUUGCGAUUCAUCCUUGUGGCUUGUAUCAGCGGGUUGUAUUUGUUUUUUUAAAAUUACUGAAUGGUAUUCCUUUGUAUGAAUUUACCACAAUUUGUUUAUCCAAUCAUCUGUUGAUAGGCAUCUGGAUUUGUAAUUUUGGGUUAUUCCAAAUAAAGCUGCUAUGAACAUUUGUGUACUA